This 172-nucleotide small RNA is filed under the name Neogale vison (American mink). RNAcentral's name for it is "Neovison vison (American mink) TUC338 (ENSNVIG00000012368.1)". Lineage: Eukaryota; Metazoa; Chordata; Mammalia; Carnivora; Mustelidae. The record is from RNAcentral.
CUGGCAGUAAUAGAGACUGAAGUCCUUUUUUUGUAUCCACAGGAUGGAUACAGUUGGGUCAUUCCUGUGUGAGCCUCUCCAUGCUGCCCCGUCAAUGACCUGGAGGGACUUCCUUCCCUCUCUUAGAGAGAGAAGAUGUUCCGUCUCCAUAGCAGCUCAGUUCUGGUCCUCC